GACGAACGCUGGCGGCGUGCUUAACACGUGCAAGUCGAACGGUAAGGCCCUUCGGGGUACACGAGUGGCGAACGGGUGAGUAACACGUGGGUGAUCUGCCCUGCACUUCGGGAUAAGCCUGGGAAACUGGGUCUAAUACCGGAUAGGACUCCGGACUGCAUGGUCUGGGGUGGAAAGCUUUUGCGGUGUGGGAUGGGCCCGCGGCCUAUCAGCUUGUUGGGGGGGUGAUGGCCUACCAAGGCAACGACGGGUAGCCGGCCUGAGAGGGUGACCGGCCACCGUGGGACUGAGAUACGGCCCAGACUUCUACGGGAGGCAGCAGUGGGGAAUAUUGCACAAUGGGCGCAAGCCUGAUGCAGCGACGCCGCGUGAGGGAUGACGGCCUUCGGGUUGUAAACCUCUUUCAGCAUCGACGAAGCGAAAGUGACGGUAGGUGCAGAAGAAGGACCGGCCAACUACGUGCCAGCCGCCGCCGUAA
RNAcentral lists this ribosomal RNA (478 nucleotides) under uncultured bacterium. RNAcentral's name for it is "partial 16S ribosomal RNA". It matches the Rfam family "Bacterial small subunit ribosomal RNA", at positions 28 to 523 of the family's 1533-position model. The record is from RNAcentral.